CCCUAACAACACACAACAUUCCAGGAAUGGACUACCAAAGUUCUAUCAAUAUUUGAAUGUCCUGGACAUUUAGGGAACAUUCGGUGAACAUCUGAUUAAAUUAUUCGUGGAAUGUUACCAUAAGACAUUCUGUGAACAUACUACCAACGUUCCUAUAUGUUCAUUUUCAAAUUCACGGCGCAUGUAUUUGUGCAUGGUGCUUAGAGAGGGCAUCACGUGACUAAAAACGACCAAUGACCUCACUUCAGACUUCGGUGCUUCGGCCAUCUUGACUGACAUGCAUCUUGGCCUUGGCCACCUUGCCGUGCGUGAUCGUUGUUUGUUUUUAUUUGUGCUUUUUAAGAAUAUUUUUUAAUUCGGAUACUUUUAUAAUAACUUUAAUAGUAUUAUUAAUAUAGUGCAUAAAAGCAGUUGGAGUAGCAGAAGCAAUGUAGAUAAAAAAUCUGCAGGAAUAAUGUUUCAAAGCUUUCCAGAAGAUCCUGCAAAGAAGGCAUGAAGUAUUGAUCAGAUUUGUUAAUAGAGCAGUAUGUUCAAAACAUUUUUUAGAAAAAGAUAUUGACAGAACUUCACUUUCAACCGUUUGAGAGACUGUGCUGUUCCAAUAGCUUAUAUCACACAGAAUCAGCUGAGAGAAGUGGUCUACAAAAAACCAGGAAGGAAAUGGAAUAUGUGGCUAUGAAAGGCAAAAGAAAGGUUUACAAAGCAAAUGUGACACAUUUUUUUAUAGGAAUAUCAGUAAAUUACAUUAAAAAAAUGUAUGAAAAGAUUUUUUGCAAUAAAAAUGUUUAUAUUUAUCAAGGAUGCAUUAUUUGGUAUGGCCACAUAUCGUCAGUGAUGUGACAAUACCUCCUGUCUGUUUUUUCAUGAGAUUUGUAAGAUAGACUAAAAACUUGUUUGGGCCACCUCCUGUUUUCAUAUAUUUUUUGACUUGUUUUGCAGUAAAUUUAACUAUCUAUU
Molecule: long non-coding RNA, 957 nt
Organism: Diabrotica virgifera virgifera (western corn rootworm)
Lineage: Eukaryota; Metazoa; Arthropoda; Insecta; Coleoptera; Chrysomelidae
Exons: 3
Source: RefSeq, a predicted model, not a curated record